GAGGGCUCUACAACGCCUACCUCCUCCCGCGGGACAAGACGCAGAAUCGGAGCGAGCGCCUGGGAGGACGCCCUGCUCCGAUGGGUUGGGCGUGUCGCGAGCUUCGCCGUGUGGCCAAGUACGGCGUGCUCCAGAGUGGAUGGUCGACGCCCUCCCCACCUCGCCCGUGACUGGUUUAGCUCUGACAGAAACAGCUAUGGGACAGGUACAACAUGAAGUUGGGUUCUAGUCUUUUAGCUACAGUGCAGGGAAGCAAGCUUGGAUUCACUGAAUGAUGUGUACACACCAAGUGCACCUCGCUUUCAUAAUAGCAAGCAACCCCAUUCUGAGGUAUGUUCUCUUCGCUUGCAGCCUUUUUAAGAGUAUAAGUGGUGUUUAUCAAUGUGUUGUCUCAGAAAAGCGCUUUCUCCAGCGCUUGAUAAUUGUAGCUCUAUAUGCUUGUGUUGCAAACAGCAUAAGCAACUGGACAACCAUUUGGUUCAUAAACUCAAACCAUUGAACUUAAAAACAUCACCUUCCGUGGCUGUUGUGUAUCGUAGUUGGGUCAAAGCAAAUUGCGCAGUGGGCUUCUCCGUAGUGUGAAUUUGUUAGAAAGAAUUGAACAUAUAUACACAAACUGAAAGAAAUAUCAAAAUCUAAGCACCUGUAUGCCUCGCAAUGGAUCACAACAAAAAAACGUAGACACUGAUUAAUCCAUCCUAAAAAUAUCUGAACUAUAUCGGAAAACAUGUAGUUGCUGAUUUACGAAACCAUCAUUUUCCAAACAGGGU
Long non-coding RNA from Triticum dicoccoides, 770 nucleotides. RefSeq lists it as uncharacterized. Lineage: Eukaryota; Viridiplantae; Streptophyta; Magnoliopsida; Poales; Poaceae. The record is from RefSeq and is a predicted model, not a curated record. The transcript has 3 exons.